AUUGCCCAAUACUAUAUUUAUAUAAUAUAUGUUUAUUACUCCAUUCAUCAGCAAUAAGGAAUGAAUUACAAUGGAGGAGGGAGCAAGUCAAAGCUUAAGUCAAGGUUGAUAUUAGUUGGUUGGCUGCAUAAAAGGAAGUCAGUUAGCAAAGUUGCUAACAAGUUAGUUGUUUGAGUGUGUUGGGCAGGUAAUACAAAAGGAGGAGCUGGAUUGUAACAAUUCAUUGUGAAUGAAAAUAUCAGAAAUUCCCGAAUUCAUUGUUGUUGUUGUUGUUGUUGUGUCUUUAUUAAAAAUUAUCUAUUUCACAAAUUUAUUUAAAAUAAUUGAAAUAUGAAAAUAAAUUACAGCAAUCUCGUUGCCAAGAUUUUUUUGAUAGCUCAAAG
This 383-nucleotide unclassified non-coding RNA is filed under the name Hevea brasiliensis (rubber tree). The record is from RNAcentral. Lineage: Eukaryota; Viridiplantae; Streptophyta; Magnoliopsida; Malpighiales; Euphorbiaceae.